UGAGGAACAUGACCUUCGGCGGGGGAGUAGCCGGCCCAACGGCCGGGUAAUACCGCGUACGACCACUCGGGGACAUCCCUAGGUGGUGAAAGCAGCAAUGCGCCGAUGGAGUGUCUCGCCGCCUAUCAGCUAGUUGGUGAGGUAACGGCUCACCAAGGCGACGACGGGUAGCUGGUCUGAGAGGAUGGCCAGCCACAUUGGGACUGAGACACGGCCCAGACUCCUACGGGAGCAG
RNAcentral lists this ribosomal RNA (235 nucleotides) under uncultured bacterium. Its description in RNAcentral is "partial 16S ribosomal RNA". It matches the Rfam family "Bacterial small subunit ribosomal RNA", at positions 118 to 347 of the family's 1533-position model. The record is from RNAcentral.